UACGGGGGGGAGCAAGCGUUGUUCGGAUUUACUGGGCGUAAAGGGCGCGUAGGCGGCGUGACAAGUCACUUGUGAAAUCUCCGGGCUUAACUCGGAACGGUCAAGUGAUACUGUCGUGCUAGAGUACAGAAGGGGCAACUGGAAUUCUCGGUGUAGCGGUGAAAUGCGUAGAUAUCGAGAGGAACACCUGCGGCGAAGGCGGGUUGCUGGGCUGAUACUGACGCUGAGGCGCGAAAGCUAGGGGAGCGAACGGG
Molecule: ribosomal RNA, 254 nt
Filed under: uncultured bacterium
Lineage: Bacteria
Description: partial 16S ribosomal RNA
Rfam family: Bacterial small subunit ribosomal RNA
Source: RNAcentral